This 258-nucleotide unclassified non-coding RNA is filed under the name Hevea brasiliensis (rubber tree). The record is from RNAcentral. Lineage: Eukaryota; Viridiplantae; Streptophyta; Magnoliopsida; Malpighiales; Euphorbiaceae.
AUUACAUCCUAACGAAAUUCAUGAACUCUCUGAUUUUAGACAAAACUCAGAAUUGUAGAGAACUUUUUAGGCUAGCUCAUGAGCUGUUUUAACAAGUCCAUACCAUUGUUGGUAGCAAGAGCCUGGUUUUCUUGGUUUGCGAUUUUGAAAUCCUUCUUGUGUCUAAGUGUGUGCUACACUAUCUCUGAAACAUGCAGCGUCUGCCCAUUGAAGAGACCAGCUUUCCUUGCUUUCCAUGGUUACCAUAGCAAGUACACA